UUGUUGUGAUGUUGUGCUUUUACUCACUGUGCCACUGAGUUUUUUCCAAGAAAUUUUUUCGUAUUUCUUGUGAUGUGUGUUUUCCUGUUUGUUAAAACUUCUUGACUGCUGCUUGAGUUUAGGAUUAUUUUCCGGCAUCUGCAAGUACUGCUCUCUUUCAAAUCAUAUUCUAGCUAAUGUGUUUGCAGUGAACCAUCUGUCGAUAAUGUCUAUGGUGUAUGUGCAUCUUCAUCACUGUUUCUUAAGGUCAUAAUUUUUCUUCCAUGACAAGAUAUCUUAAAGCUAUUAGAUAGCUACUGAAAGCAUAUCAAAUUGUGAACGCUGAUCGGUACGGAGAAUAUGGAGUUUUUGCAGGUUGAGAGUUAUGGUUGUUGCUGAAUUAAAGCCAAACAAGCAACACUACUGAAAUGUGAAAGAGAAGGAAAUAGUGGGUGGUAGAAGCAGAAUCCUCGAAGCUUUCAUUAGUGCAAUACCUAUGUUUCAAAUUCUUAUUUUCUUAAGUUGUUAUUUGCAAUGUUUUUGUUUCUUAAAUAGGAGUAGUAUAAUCUUAUAAGUACUCUAAUUUUCAACACUUCUUCUAUUUAGUAUAUUUGUUUCUUGAAUGUCUAAUUUUCUUCUAUCAAGUUCAGUUUUGAAGGGUUCAAAUGAUGUUAUUUCCUUCAAAAGAUACUUGUAUUAGUUUCCUACUGCAAAAGGCCAUGUCCAUUAUCCAAUGUAAACCUUCAGAUAGUAAGAUUGAAAAGUCGUUUCAUCUGGAUGAUGCUAAAGGUUCAUAUUUCAAUUUUUGGAAUUUUAAGCUAAACUCUCGGAAAAAGGAAAACAGAAGUCUAUAUUGGAGAUGGAUGGCGUAAAUUCAUUGCUGAUAAUUGCUUAAAGAAGGGAGAUCGUGUAAUGUUUGAGGUUGUCACUAAUGGAGAAACACCAAUAUGGAAAUUUCAAGUUAUUACUGAUGGAGAAACUCCAAUCAGUGAUCAAGGCAGGUAAUAUUUCUGGAGAGAAUGCAAGCAUCCUUCGAGAGGGUGACUGAACAAUGAAGCAAUUGGUAGAAAAAAGAAAAAUUAGAGCAAUUGAAUAUCUCUCUCUCUCUCUCUCUGGAAAAGAAAUUUUACAUUAAACAAUACUAAUGUGAAGGUGCUGUGUUUUGUCCAUUGGAUCAUGAAGAGUGUGAUAUAUUCAUGUAUUAACUAGCUAAAAAAUUGCUAAUGGGGCAAAAAGUUCAACUGAAAUUGGGUUGUUUUCAGUUCA
Molecule: long non-coding RNA, 1245 nt
Organism: Nicotiana attenuata
Lineage: Eukaryota; Viridiplantae; Streptophyta; Magnoliopsida; Solanales; Solanaceae
Exons: 2
Source: RefSeq, a predicted model, not a curated record